Molecule: ribosomal RNA, 811 nt
Filed under: Seiridium guangyuanum
Lineage: Eukaryota; Fungi; Ascomycota; Sordariomycetes; Amphisphaeriales; Sporocadaceae
Description: partial large subunit ribosomal RNA
Rfam family: Eukaryotic large subunit ribosomal RNA
Source: RNAcentral
CGGCGAGUGAAGCGGCAACAGCUCAAAUUUGAAAUCUGGCCCUUGGGUCCGAAUUGUAAUUUGUAGAGGAUGAUUUUGGUGCGGUAUCUUCCGAGUUCCUUGGAACAGGACGCCUUAGAGGGUGAGAGCCCCGUACGGUUGAAUGCCUAGCCUCUGUAAAUCUCCUUCGACGAGUCGAGUAGUUUGGGAAUGCUGCUCUAAAUGGGAGGUAAAUUUCUUCUAAAGCUAAAUACUGGCCAGAGACCGAUAGCGCACAAGUAGAGUGAUCGAAAGAUGAAAAGCACUUUGAAAAGAGGGUUAAAUAGCACGUGAAAUUGUUGAAAGGGAAGGAUUUAUGACCAGACUUUUUCUGGGCGGAUCAUCCGGUGUUCUCACCGGUGCACUUUGCCCAGUUUAGGCCAGCAUCGAUUUUUGGAGAGGGAUAAAAGCUUUAGGAAUGUGGCUCCUCCGGGAGUGUUAUAGCCUAUUGUAUAAUACCUUUCCGGGGAUCGAGGUACGCGCUUCUGCAAGGAUGCUGGCGUAAUGGUUAUCAAUCACCCGUCUUGAAACACGGACCAAGGAGUCGAACAUUUGUGCGAGUGUUUGGGUGUUAAACCCUCACGCGUAAUGAAAGUGAACGGAGGUGAGAGCCCUUACGGGUGCAUCAUCGACCGAUCCUGAAGUUUUCGGAUGGAUUUGAGUAAGAGCAUAACUGUUCGGACCCGAAAGAUGGUGAACUAUGCGUGGAUAGGGUGAAGCCAGAGGAAACUCUGGUGGAGGCUCGCAGCGGUUCUGACGUGCAAAUCGAUCGUCAAAUCUGCGCAUGGGGGCG